This 401-nucleotide ribosomal RNA is filed under the name uncultured bacterium. RNAcentral's name for it is "bacterial SSU rRNA". It matches the Rfam family "Bacterial small subunit ribosomal RNA", at positions 356 to 774 of the family's 1533-position model. The record is from RNAcentral.
GGGGAAUAUUGCACAAUGGGCGAAAGCCUGAUGCAGCAACGCCGCGUGAGUGAUGAAGGCCUUCGGGUUGUAAAGCUCUGUCUUCUGGGACGAUAAUGACGGUACCAGAGGAGGAAGCCACGGCUAACUACGUGCCAGCAGCCGCGGUAAUACGUAGGGGGCAAGCGUUGUCCGGAUUUACUGGGUGUAAAGGGCGCGCAGGCGGAAUGGAAAGUCAGUGGUGAAAUCCUACAGCUUAACUGUAGAACUGCCUUUGAUACUUUCAUUCUUGAGUUCGGGAGAGAGAGACGGAAUUCCAGGUGUAGUGGUGAAAUACGUAGAUAUCUGGAAGAACACCAGUUGCGAAGGCGGUCUCUUGGUCCGAUACUGACGCUGAGGCGCGAAAGCGUGGGGAGCAAACA